ACAAAUUUGACCACAUCACGCUUCAAAUUCUUGAGAGUAAAACACUUGCGUUUCACAUGGCCAGGAACCCCGCAAUAUUCACAGACUACCACAGAUUCCUCUUCUAACUCUGGCUGAGAACCUUGCCCAUAUCUACUCCCGCCAAAAUGCGGUCUUGGAUGGCCACAUCACGAAAGGCACCGAAACCACAAAAAUCCGCCUGCAGCUUGACGGCCUGUACAAAUUCUUCUGCCGUUUCGUCAGGCUGCUGAUUACGCAGACUCAACCGGAAUCUUUGAACAAGGUCAGGUUCUACCCUAUCUAGCUUCAAUUUAAGUUUGGCUUCAAUAUCGUUGAAGGUUGCAUUGGCCAAAUCCUUCUCAUUAUAAAUCGUUUUAAGUUGAGUAAAUAGAUAAGGACCGCAUAAAUUCAUAAAGUGAGCUUUUUGUUUUUUAGAAUCUGUCACGUCAUUACCGUCGAAUGUAUAUUUCAGACGGCAAAUCCAGUCCGAAAACGAAGAACCCUUGCGGAACGGCUCGAUGGAUGAAACCAUGCCUCCUUGGCUCAUUUCAACAAACUUCAAUCAAUAGUUUUUAAAAAAA
This is a long non-coding RNA of Culex quinquefasciatus (southern house mosquito), 581 nucleotides long. RefSeq lists it as uncharacterized. Lineage: Eukaryota; Metazoa; Arthropoda; Insecta; Diptera; Culicidae. The transcript has 2 exons. The record is from RefSeq and is a predicted model, not a curated record.